AGAGUUUGAUCCUGGCUCAGAACGAACGCUGGCGGCAUGCCUAACACAUGCAAGUCGAACGAGAUCUUCGGAUCUAGUGGCGCACGGGUGCGUAACGCGUGGGAAUCUGCCCUUGGGUUCGGAAUAACAGUUAGAAAUGACUGCUAAUACCGGAUGAAGUCUUCGGACCAAAGAUUUAUCGCCCAGGGAUGAGCCCGCGUAGGAUUAGGUAGUUGGUGGGGUAAAGGCCUACCAAGCCGACGAUCCUUAGCUGGUCUGAGAGGAUGAUCAGCCACACUGGGACUGAGACACGGCCCAGACUCCUACGGGAGGCAGCAGUGGGGAAUAUUGGACAAUGGGCGAAAGCCUGAUCCAGCAAUGCCGCGUGAGUGAUGAAGGCCUUAGGGUUGUAAAGCUCUUUUACCCGGGAUGAUAAUGACAGUACCGGGAGAAUAAGCUCCGGCUAACUUCGUGCCAGCAGCCGCGGUAAUUC
This 472-nucleotide ribosomal RNA is filed under the name uncultured bacterium. RNAcentral's name for it is "bacterial SSU rRNA". It matches the Rfam family "Bacterial small subunit ribosomal RNA", at positions 8 to 526 of the family's 1533-position model. The record is from RNAcentral.